AUUGAACGCUGGCGGCAUGCUUUACACAUGCAAGUCGAACGGCAGCGCGGGGCAACCUGGCGGCGAGUGGCGAACGGGUGAGUAAUAUAUCGGAACGUACCCAGAAGUGGGGGAUAACGUAGCGAAAGUUACGCUAAUACCGCAUACGAUCUACGGAUGAAAGUGGGGGACCUUCGGGCCUCAUGCUUUUGGAGCGGCCGAUAUCUGAUUAGCUAGUUGGUGAGGUAAAGGCUCACCAAGGCGACGAUCAGUAGCUGGUCUGAGAGGACGACCAGCCACACUGGGACUGAGACACGGCCCAGACUCCUACGGGAGGCAGCAGUGGGGAAUUUUGGACAAUGGGGGCAACCCUGAUCCAGCAAUGCCGCGUGAGUGAUGAAGGCCCUAGGGUUGUAAAGCUCUUUUGUGCGGGAAGAUAAUGACGGUACCGCAAGAAUAAGCCCCGGCUAGCUUCGUGCCAGCAGCCGCG
This 469-nucleotide ribosomal RNA is filed under the name uncultured bacterium. RNAcentral describes it as "bacterial SSU rRNA". It matches the Rfam family "Bacterial small subunit ribosomal RNA", at positions 30 to 519 of the family's 1533-position model. The record is from RNAcentral.